RNAcentral lists this ribosomal RNA (443 nucleotides) under uncultured bacterium. RNAcentral's name for it is "partial 16S ribosomal RNA". It matches the Rfam family "Bacterial small subunit ribosomal RNA", at positions 338 to 795 of the family's 1533-position model. The record is from RNAcentral.
CCUACGGGUGGCAGCAGUGGGGAAUAUUGGGCAAUGGGCGCAAGCCUGACCCAGCAACGCCGCGUGAAGGAAGAAGGCUUUCGGGUUGGAAACUUCUUUUCUCACAGACGUAGCAAGUGACGGUACCUGAGGUAUAAGCGACGGCUACCUACGUGCCUGCAGCCGCGGUAAGACGUAGGGGGCAAGCGUUAUCCGGAUUUACUGGGUGUAAAGGGAGGGUAGGCGGGAAAGCAAGUCAGAUGUGAAAACCAGUGGCUCAACAUGUGGCCUGCAUUUGAAACUGUGGUUCUGGAGUACUGGAGAGGCAGACGGAAUUCCUAGUGUAGCGGUGAAAUGCGUAGAUAUUAGGAGGAACACCAGUGGCGAAGGCGGCUCUCUGGUCUGGAACUGACGCUGAGGCUCGAAAGCAUGGGUAGCGAACAGGAUUAGAUACCCCUGUAGUC